Molecule: ribosomal RNA, 472 nt
Filed under: Afroedura halli (Inland rock gecko)
Lineage: Eukaryota; Metazoa; Chordata; Lepidosauria; Squamata; Gekkonidae
Description: partial 16S ribosomal RNA
Rfam family: Bacterial large subunit ribosomal RNA
Source: RNAcentral
AACCGUGCAAAGGUAGCGUAAUCACUUGUCCCCUAAAUAGAGACCUGUAUGAACGGUUAACUGAGGAUAAAACUGUCUUUUGCGGCCAAUCAAUGAAACUGAUCUCCCAGUACAAAAGCUGGAAUAAACCCACAAGACGAGAAGACCCUGCGGAACUUCAAGUAAUUAUACUACCACACAAACCUAUUACCGUGACUGCAAUAGUAUAAACUUUAAGUUGGGGCGACUGUGGAGAAAAAGAAAACCUCCAUGAAACAAACUAAUCACCACAAGACACACGUGUCAAGUUGAUGUAAACUAUUGACCCAGUAUAACUGACUACCGAACCAAGUUACCCCAGGGAUAACAGCGCCAUCCCCUUAAAGAGUCCAUAUCGCCAAGGGGGCUUACGACCUCGAUGUUGGAUCAGGACCCCCAGAUGGCGCAGCCGCUAUCAAAGGUUCGUUUGUUCAACGAUUAAAGUCCUACGUGA